RNAcentral lists this ribosomal RNA (492 nucleotides) under uncultured bacterium. Its description in RNAcentral is "partial 16S ribosomal RNA". It matches the Rfam family "Bacterial small subunit ribosomal RNA", at positions 29 to 507 of the family's 1533-position model. The record is from RNAcentral.
AGUGAACGCUGGCGGUAGGCCUAACACAUGCCAGUCGAACGGCAGCACAGUAAUAGCUUGCUCUUACGGGUUGCGAGUGGCGGACGGGUGAGGAAUACAUCGGAAUCUACUUUUUCGUGGGGGAUAACGUAGGGAAACUUACGCUAAUACCGCAUACGACCUACGGUUGAAAGCAGGGGAUCUUCGGACCUUGCGCGAUUGAAUGAGCCGAUGUCGGAUUAGCUAGUUGGCGGGGUAAAGGCCCACCAAGGCGACGAUCCGUAGCUGGUCUGAGAGGAUGAUCAGCCACACUGGAACUGAGACACGGUCCAGACUCCUACGGGAGGCAGCAGUGGGGAAUAUUGGACAAUGGGCGCAAGCCUGAUCCAGCCAUACCGCGUGGGUGAAGAAGGCCUUCGGGUUGUAAAGCCCUUUUGUUGGGAAAGAAAAGCAGCAGGUUAAUACCCCGCUGUUCUGACGGUACCCAAAGAAUAAGCACCGGCUAACUUCGUG